RNAcentral lists this ribosomal RNA (426 nucleotides) under uncultured bacterium. Its description in RNAcentral is "partial 16S ribosomal RNA". It matches the Rfam family "Bacterial small subunit ribosomal RNA", at positions 338 to 795 of the family's 1533-position model. The record is from RNAcentral.
CCUACGGGUGGCAGCAGUGGGGAAUAUUGGACAAUGGGCGCAAGCCUGAUCCAGCAAUGCCGCGUGAGUGAUGAAGGCCUAGGGUUGUAAAGCUCUUUUACCCGGGAGACUGUACCGGUAGAAUAAGCCCCGGCUAACUCCGUGCCAGCAGCCGCGGUAAUACGGAGGGGGCUAGCGUUGUUCGGAAUUACUGGGCGUAAAGCGUACGUAGGCGGUUUGUAAGUUAGAGGUGAAAGCCCGGGGCUCAACCCCGGAAUAGCCUUUAAGACUGCAUCUUGAAUCGGGGAGAGGUAGUGGAAUUCCGAGUGUAGAGGUGAAAUGCGUAGAUAUUCGGAAGAACACCAGUGGCGAAGGCGGCUCACUGGCGGUAUUGACGCUGAGGUACGAAAGCGUGGGGAGCAAACAGGAUUAGAUACCCUUGUAGUC